This 452-nucleotide long non-coding RNA is filed under the name Nicotiana benthamiana. Its description in RNAcentral is "long non-coding RNA (NBEN_LNC020733)". The record is from RNAcentral. Lineage: Eukaryota; Viridiplantae; Streptophyta; Magnoliopsida; Solanales; Solanaceae.
ACAAAAUCAAAUAGAAUUGUGUGGUCCUUCUAGUUCGCCACUUCCAAUUUUCCUCUCAAUUUGAUGCAUAACAUACUUUCAAGUGCUGCUGCAUUUAAGUUCUGUUACUUAGUUUCCUCUUCAUUCUCUAACUAGGCCCCCAUCAUUUUAUCCAAUUAUCCUUAUAUCCUUACAUCUUUGUCGGUGUCACAGUAGAAAUGAUGGAAAUACUGAAAAAAAAAUCAGAAAACUUAGUGAAAUAACGACAAGUCUGCGAAGGUGUGUCCCAAAAGAGGAUUAGGACACAAGUUGGAUACGCAUGCAAUGAAAUUCCGGCAGCGUCAACUAGCAAAGGACACACUGCACAUGCCACUGGCCAAAUCAAAAUGUAACAGUUACCACGAACGCAAUAUGCUCCACCAAAAGGAAAGGUGGGUGUUGGUGUAGGAGAACAAUUUAAAGAUAGAAGACCU